Molecule: long non-coding RNA, 798 nt
Organism: Marmota flaviventris (yellow-bellied marmot)
Lineage: Eukaryota; Metazoa; Chordata; Mammalia; Rodentia; Sciuridae
Source: RefSeq, a predicted model, not a curated record
AGGAAGGAAGGAAGGAAGGAAGGAAGGAAGGAAAGAUGUAAGAGGGUGUGGCCACCAAUACUCAUGAGAUCCUCUAUGGGACUUUAACAAACGUCAACAAUCCUGCCACCAGGUAAAGAAUCACAAACACCAUUAGAGGUGUCUAGUGAUUGUCCACGCUCUAUUGGAAACCUGACCAUUAAGUGAACUCCAGUGAACAGUUUGAUAGCUGCUUUGGAGAGCAGAGAAGGUGCAAAAAAUAAGUUUCAGAAUGGAUGGCCAUAAAUACAUGCCACGGUAUUGACUAAGGUGCUGGAUGGAGGAGGAGGAGGCCGGAGUUUAAGUUCUGCCCCACCGUAUCAUUAGUGGGAAAAGUGAGUGGACGUUGGCAUGUAGAACAAUUUUGCAUGUAAAGAGAUCAAAGAGGUGAGGGAAGAGGAAAGAAAAGAAAUACAAAGAAUGUAUGGGCUUGUGGACCUGAGACGAUGAAGAGGAGCAUGUGAAUUUGCCUCCAUCACCAAAUACCAUGCUGGAUGAUCUGGCCAAGUCGGUUCCUUGAGUUUCCGUGUUCCCAUCUGGGAAAUGACGUUUUGAAGUGUAUUCCAUCUCACUCUAAUUACCUACAAAUAGUAAUCAUGUACAAACUGAGGCAGGGUUUGUGGGGUGUCCUGUAAAUGGUAUGGUGCUCUGCAUGUUGAAGGCAGCAUCUUACCCAAAAGUACUGAGACCUGGGUGGGAAGGAAAAUAACUUCAUACAAUGUCAAAAACCUGCCUUCUGUGUCAGCCUGGAAAAAAACAGCAAUACAGCUAAAAAAGAGA